This is a non-coding RNA of Oryza barthii, 207 nucleotides long. NCBI's taxonomy places the organism in Eukaryota, Viridiplantae, Streptophyta, Magnoliopsida, Poales, Poaceae. The record is from Rfam.
CUCACGGAAAAUAAUGCUAGUUUCCGUGUCUAAAUUUGACUGUCCGUCUUAUAUGAAAUUUUUUUAUAAUUCAUAUUUUCAUUGUUGUUAUAUGAUAAAACAUGAUUAAUAUUUUAUGCGUGACUUGUCUUUUUAAUUUUUUUUAUAAUUUUUUCAAAUAAGACGGACGGUCAAACGUUGGACACGGAAAUCAGGGUUUGUCUUUUU